RNAcentral lists this ribosomal RNA (740 nucleotides) under Microbacterium aerolatum. Its description in RNAcentral is "bacterial SSU rRNA". It matches the Rfam family "Bacterial small subunit ribosomal RNA", at positions 76 to 829 of the family's 1533-position model. Lineage: Bacteria; Bacillati; Actinomycetota; Actinomycetes; Micrococcales; Microbacteriaceae. The record is from RNAcentral.
CAGCUUGCUGGGUGGAUUAGUGGCGAACGGGUGAGUAACACGUGAGCAACCUGCCCCUGACUCUGGGAUAAGCGCUGGAAACGGCGUCUAAUACUGGAUACGAGUAGCGAUCGCAUGGUCAGUUACUGGAAAGAUUUUUUGGUUGGGGAUGGGCUCGCGGCCUAUCAGCUUGUUGGUGAGGUAAUGGCUCACCAAGGCGUCGACGGGUAGCCGGCCUGAGAGGGUGACCGGCCACACUGGGACUGAGACACGGCCCAGACUCCUACGGGAGGCAGCAGUGGGGAAUAUUGCACAAUGGGCGGAAGCCUGAUGCAGCAACGCCGCGUGAGGGAUGACGGCCUUCGGGUUGUAAACCUCUUUUAGCAGGGAAGAAGCGAGAGUGACGGUACCUGCAGAAAAAGCGCCGGCUAACUACGUGCCAGCAGCCGCGGUAAUACGUAGGGCGCAAGCGUUAUCCGGAAUUAUUGGGCGUAAAGAGCUCGUAGGCGGUUUGUCGCGUCUGCUGUGAAAUCCCGAGGCUCAACCUCGGGCCUGCAGUGGGUACGGGCAGACUAGAGUGCGGUAGGGGAGAUUGGAAUUCCUGGUGUAGCGGUGGAAUGCGCAGAUAUCAGGAGGAACACCGAUGGCGAAGGCAGAUCUCUGGGCCGUAACUGACGCUGAGGAGCGAAAGGGUGGGGAGCAAACAGGCUUAGAUACCCUGGUAGUCCACCCCGUAAACGUUGGGAACUAGUUGUGGGGUC